This 707-nucleotide ribosomal RNA is filed under the name Petrolisthes glasselli. RNAcentral describes it as "bacterial SSU rRNA". It matches the Rfam family "Eukaryotic small subunit ribosomal RNA", at positions 40 to 579 of the family's 1831-position model. The record is from RNAcentral. Lineage: Eukaryota; Metazoa; Arthropoda; Malacostraca; Decapoda; Porcellanidae.
AAGAUUAAGCCAUGCAUGUCUGAGUACAAGCCUGCCUCAAUGAGUUGAUGGUGAAACCGCGAAUGGCUCAUUAAAUCAGCUGUAAUUCCUUGGAUGCCAACAGCCCAACCACAAAGCAUCUUUAUGCUGAGAAAGGCACACCAGUUAUUACAUGGAUAACUGUGGCAAUUCUAGAGCUAAUACAUGCCUCGAGUUCCCCAGUCCCCGACGACAGUGGAGUUUGUUGAGUGGUCGACAAGACUUCCUUGCUCUCUCUCUGUUCGGGCGACGAGGACGCUUUUAUUAGAUCACAAAAACCAACAAGUUUGUCGGGCUGCGGUCCUUCAACGAAACGUUUGGUGUGAUGACUCUGGAUAACUGCCGAGCGCACGGCCGUCCUUUAAUCGCCCUCGCGCGUUAAAUGUGUCUGGCCGGCGCCGCAUCUUUCAAGUGUCUGCCUUCUCAGCUUUAGACUGUAAGCUAUGUGCUUAUUGUGGCUAUAACGGGUGACGGGGAAUCAGGGUUCGAUUCCGGAGAGGGAGCCUGAGAAACGGCUACCACAUCCAAGGAAGGCAGCAGGCACGCAAAUUACCCACUCCCGGCACGGGGAGGUAGUGACGAAAAAUAACAAUGUGAGACUCAUCCGAGGCCUUACAAUUGGAAUGAGUACACUUUAAAUCCUUUAACGAGGACCAAUUGGAGGGCAAGUCUGGUGCCAGCAGCCGCGG